AGUGAACGCUGGCGGUAGGCCUAACACAUGCAAGUCGAACGGCAGCACAGUAAGAGCUUGCUCUUACGGGUGGCGAGUGGCGGACGGGUGAGGAAUACAUCGGAAUCUACUUUUUCGUGGGGGAUAACGUAGGGAAACUUACUCUAAUACCGCAUACGACCUACGGGUGAAAGCAGUGGAUCUUCGGACCUUUCGCGAUUGAAUGAGCCGAUGUCGGAUUAGCUAGUUGGCGGGGUAAAGGCCCACCAAGGCGACGAUCCGUAGCUGGUCUGAGAGGAUGAUCGGCCACAUUGGAACUGAGACACGGUCCAGACUCCUACGGGAGGCAGCAGUGGGGAAUAUUGGACAAUGGGCGCAAGCCUGAUCCAGCCAUACCGCGUGGGUGAAGAAGGCCUUCGGGUUGUAAAGCCCUUUUGUUGGGAAAGAAAAGCAGCAGGUUAAUACCCCGCUGUUCUGACGGUACCCAAAGAAUAAGCACCGGCUAACUUCGUG
Molecule: ribosomal RNA, 492 nt
Filed under: uncultured bacterium
Lineage: Bacteria
Description: partial 16S ribosomal RNA
Rfam family: Bacterial small subunit ribosomal RNA
Source: RNAcentral